Molecule: non-coding RNA, 2361 nt
Organism: Meleagris gallopavo (turkey)
Lineage: Eukaryota; Metazoa; Chordata; Aves; Galliformes; Phasianidae
Source: RefSeq, a predicted model, not a curated record
GGAUUAGAUCAUGCACACUGCUCAUCUGCUGCGUGCUGCUGGGCACACUGCAGUUGGCUGGUCUGCAAGUCUGUCUGUGUGCCCUGUUGAGGGAGGUUCCUACUGUCUCAGAAGAAAACAAGUUUGUCCAAGGAACAGCAGCCUUUGGAGUAUGGAAAACCACAGAAGAAACUGGAACUGUCUAUGAAAGUCAACCCAGCCACCUCUUCAAACACUUGGGGCUACGGGUGACCUUCCAGGCUUUGCUGUUACACCGUUUCAGGAGCCCUCCUUCCCCCUGGGGCUGGCUUUGCUUGAAAGCAGAGGAGGCCUGUGGUGCUGCCAAGUCCAUUGCUGCAGACCUCUUGGUUCCCCAAGAGGAGGGGUAAAGGCUCUUUUUGAUCCCACUGCGCAUCUCUGGGCUCUGCUGACCUCCUGACAUGGAGAGCACCACGAGGAGGAAGAGGGCUCAGCACGUGACUGGACUUUGCAGCCAGCUCUGGACCACAGAGCUCCUUGCCCAGAUACAUGCUAGACUCUUGCUGAUAUCCUUCGCCAUAUGGGACGUGCAUGGUGCUGCUUCCUCCUGGCUGCCACUCAUGGGGUUCUGCUCCGACUCCGAAGCUCCGUGUGUGGGAACUGCUCCUGGCUGUGGCUCAUCUCUGUCUGCAGGAGCUGCUCGACCUCUUUCAGCACAUCCCGGUCUGUUUGGACCAACCAUCUCUUCUCCAGGUGUAGCCGCUUCCUCUCCCCUGCAUUUCAGCUGUGGUAGUUAUCACAUUAUUUAUGAGACAGACAGAAGUUGCAUUCAGCUGAGAGCCGGAGGCUUCUCUCGGUACAAAUCGCCCUGCAAUGCUGCUGUGUCGGGAUGGAGAAAGGCAGAGCCGCAACCGGACUGCAGAGGCAGCUCAGUGACCCAGUGCUGCCCCAGGCAUGCGAUGGGUGCCCUGUUUGGCUGAAGCAGCUGAAUGCAUGUGACUGAAGUGCUUCCUGACACUGUCAAACCAUGGAUACAUACCAGCAGCUCCCAGAGAGGUGGAGGAUGCCCACUGGGAUCUAUCUCAUGACCUGUGGCUGUCCCCACCUGAGCAAGCCCUGGGGUCUUCCAGCAGCACAAGAAACUGCAUCAGCCCCUCAAGGUACGUGUUUUGUCCCAUCAGCCUGUACUGUGUAUUGUGGUGCCUUCCAUGCUGCUGCUGUGGCUGAAUGGAAGUCAUAUGGCUGCCCCUUGUUUCCCUUGGUCACGAGAUGCAGGCUGUCAUAAGGUGGCACAUCUUGGGUGCAUAAGGAUCUGCCUGGGUAAGGGGAAGCCCAGCAGAACUGUCUUCAUGUGUGGAGCUCUCCUAAAGUACCAUGUGGGUAUUUUCAUCUUUGACUCUUGCUGAGGUGACCACUAAUAAGGUGGAGGGAGAGCAAGAAGACACAGGGUCUGACCUUCCCACUCUACAGACACCUCUUAAAGACCCUGAUGUUCUUCUUUAGGGAGUUCUAGGCACCCAGAGCACUUUUAAUUUGUAAGCAUCUUGAACCGAGUACCAACACCCAGACCCUGAAAAAUGCCUUGCCAUUUGUCUCACCCUAGCAAAGUCACUGUUAUCUUGGGGUUGUCACUUUGCUCUGUCAUCAGACAAAGCCAGUGGUUGCCCCAUCACUGAAUGCCAGGAGAGGAGCUGGUGUAGGAAUUGGUCAGAGGCAACAUUCCCUCUCCUGUCUUACAGCAGAGACAUCCCCAUGUUGGCCAAUCCCUGCAGGGAAUGAUUUUUGGAGAUCUGUGGCCUGUUUUUUCAGCAUCUCAUAAACAGGGAAAAGAAACAAAGGCAAGAAUUGCCAUGCGACAGCAUGUGUAUAAAUAGAUCCUUAGGAGGGUGAGACUAGCAGGAGGGAAGAGAUGGAGAUGAUUUCUAUUUCCAAAGGAGCAGCCUUGAAGCCGCUUGCCUUUGUGCCUGACCCUUUGGUGUUAGGUCACUGCUCCUCGUGCCCAGUGCUCGCUUAUCCAGGAAAAGAUUGUAUAGAAAACUUGCUGCUUGCCACGAGAAGGGAGGUUACUCCAUGUUUUAAAGAGGUUAAUGGCUUUUUUUGUUGCAUAGUAAGGAAAAAAAUUAUGAUAAUGCUCAGAUGGAGCUGUAUCUCAUCUAAAAGGGUUUCUAAUUAUUGGGUUUAAUAUAGAAUUAUUAGAAAGUCAAUAACCAGGGCAAGUGGUGAUCUGGGAGUCCCUCAGAAGAAGGAGUCGAGCUGGUGAUGCAGCCACUGGAUUUGUUAAGGCCAUCUUAGGGAUGGUGGGACCCAGGGUCCUAGAGAGUCCAGGACCAUGUGUGUCCCAUCCCAUGGGGUCUCCUCCCACCACCCCUCUGUAGCUGUGGUUGGAAGGACUGAGGGCACAUU